GAAGAACCCUUGGAGUCUUGCUGCUCAUUCUGUUGGCUCUGAAGAGGAGCUCACGGAUGAUGGAGAUGAAAGGAGUAAUGCCACUUCCUCCACUCACCAUCACAAGCAUGUCAUGCCUGCAUUAUAUUUUUCUCCAUCUUAAUCAAAGGUAUGAAAACACAUCAAAGUGGGUUACAGAUUUUCUUGAGCUAUUAUCAAUAAAUGGUACUUGCUUUGUACUGUUGAAGCUUAACAUAUCUGAUUUCAGAGCCUCUGGAAGUUAAGUCUUUAAGUUCUUAAACAUGAAAUAUGCUUGUUAUAUGCAAUAAUACAAACUCAUCUGAGAUGAUGUUUCUUUGGAUGAAAAACGCUUCAAAAAUUUGAACUUCCAAAAGGCUUUGCUUGUAUUUACACACCUUAGAAAAUUGGUUGAAGUAGGUCCAUAGGGCCCUUCAAUGCUGACCUCAAGGUGCUCUAUCAGUGAGGGGGAUGAUAGCUUACAAUACAAUGUGCUGGACCAACUUCCUUCACUUUUGAUGACAACACUUACCUUCUCAGGAUCUGUAUUACUGUUUGAGGUGAUUGUAAAAGGAUGCCAUUGCAGCUUGGAAAUGCUAGGCACAUUUAUAAAGAGGGUACUUGUUGGAGUAUAGUUCAGCCCUGGUAAGAAACAUCAGUAAAGUUUUUGUUCCUUAAUUUUUAUUUUAUUUUCUCUGUUUAGUGUAUUUUCAACUUAAAACUUCAUCCAUGAUGCACUGAAAGGAAAAUUAAAUCUAAAAAAAUGUGAAAGGAUCAUGUCUUAUUACUGUACUUUUACCUGAUGCUUUAGAGAAGUUCAACUCAACCGCUUCACAAGGUAAAAGGCGGGCUGCAACCAAGCGAACCCUUUGUUGGGAUUGUAAGAAUCGCAAGUACCGGUCUAUCAAGAAAAGGUAGAAACCUGGAAGCAUGAUGCAGGAGUAGGAGAUGCCCACAUGUAACAUGAAAAAGACGAUGAAAAGGACAUACAGAUGAUGGGUAUAAAAGAAGAGCUCAAAGAUCUUCUGCCUUAUAUGAGGGAA
RNAcentral lists this long non-coding RNA (1040 nucleotides) under Vitis vinifera (wine grape). Its description in RNAcentral is "long non-coding RNA (VVIN_LNC005515)". The record is from RNAcentral. Lineage: Eukaryota; Viridiplantae; Streptophyta; Magnoliopsida; Vitales; Vitaceae.